Molecule: small nuclear RNA, 82 nt
Filed under: Panthera tigris altaica (Amur tiger)
Lineage: Eukaryota; Metazoa; Chordata; Mammalia; Carnivora; Felidae
Source: RNAcentral
AAAAAUUGGAAUGAUACGGAGAAAAUUAGCAUGGCCCCUGUGCAAGCAGGACACUCAAAUUUGUGAAGCAUUCCAUAUUUUU